UAUUGGUUUCAGUCAUUAGACUGUGGCCAUGCUGGAGUACUACCUUGAUGGGUUCAGUCAAACAAAUCAUCCACUUUA
Long non-coding RNA from Octopus sinensis (East Asian common octopus), 78 nucleotides. RefSeq lists it as uncharacterized. The record is from RefSeq and is a predicted model, not a curated record. The transcript is spliced from 3 exons. Lineage: Eukaryota; Metazoa; Mollusca; Cephalopoda; Octopoda; Octopodidae.